This 920-nucleotide ribosomal RNA is filed under the name uncultured bacterium. Its description in RNAcentral is "bacterial SSU rRNA". It matches the Rfam family "Bacterial small subunit ribosomal RNA", at positions 33 to 944 of the family's 1533-position model. The record is from RNAcentral.
ACGCUAGCUACAGGCUUAACACAUGCAAGUCGAGGGGAAACGGCAUUAAGUGCUUGCACUUUUUGGACGUCGACCGGCGCACGGGUGAGUAACGCGUAUCCAACCUUCCCAUGACUAAGGGAUAACCUGCCGAAAGGCAGACUAAUACCUUAUGGUCUUCACUGACGGCAUCAGAUGUGAAGUAAAGAUUUAUCGGUUAUGGAUGGGGAUGCGUCUGAUUAGUUAGUUGGCGGGGUAACGGCCCACCAAGGCAACGAUCAGUAGGGGUUCUGAGAGGAAGGUCCCCCACAUUGGAACUGAGACACGGUCCAAACUCCUACGGGAGGCAGCAGUGAGGAAUAUUGGUCAAUGGGCGAGAGCCUGAACCAGCCAAGUAGCGUGCAGGACGACGGCCCUAUGGGUUGUAAGCUGCUUUUGUAUGGGGAUAAAGUCAAUCACGUGUGAUUGUUUGCAGGUACCAUACGAAUAAGGACCGGCUAAUUCCGUGCCAGCAGCCGCGGUAAUACGGAAGGUCCGGGCGUUAUCCGGAUUUAUUGGGUUUAAAGGGAGCGUAGGCUGGAGAUUAAGUGUGUUGUGAAAUGUAGACGCUCAACGUCUGACUUGCAGCGCAUACUGGUUUCCUUGAGUACGCACAACGUUGGCGGAAUUCGUCGUGUAGCGGUGAAAUGCUUAGAUAUGACGAAGAACUCCGAUUGCGAAGGCAGCUGACGGGAGCGCAACUGACGCUGAAGCUCGAAGGUGCGGGUAUCGAACAGGAUUAGAUACCCUGGUAGUCCGCACAGUAAACGAUGGAUGCCCGCUGUUGGUACCUGGUAUCAGCGGCUAAGCGAAAGCAUUAAGCAUCCCACCUGGGGAGUACGCCGGCAACGGUGAAACACAAAGGAAUUGACGGGGGCCCGCACAAGCGGAGGAACAUGUGG